This 253-nucleotide ribosomal RNA is filed under the name uncultured bacterium. RNAcentral's name for it is "partial 16S ribosomal RNA". It matches the Rfam family "Bacterial small subunit ribosomal RNA", at positions 524 to 776 of the family's 1533-position model. The record is from RNAcentral.
UACGUAGGGUGCAAGCGUUGUCCGGAAUUAUUGGGCGUAAAGAGCUCGUAGGCGGUCUGUCGCGUCUGCUGUGAAAACUCGGGGCUUAACCCCGGGCCUGCAGUGGGUACGGGCAGACUAGAGUGCGGUAGGGGAGACUGGAAUUCCUGGUGUAGCGGUGAAAUGCGCAGAUAUCAGGAAGAACACCUAUGGCGAAGGCAGCACUCUGGGACGGUAUUGACGCUAAGGCGCGAAAGCGUGGGGAGCAAACAGG